GCAGGCUGCCCGCGCUAGCAGCAGUAACCUGCUUGAGUAGUAUUACGUGCUGUGGAAGUUUUGUUCUUUUGCUUUUCGCAGUAAAUUUUGCUGGUGGUCGCUCUUUGGGUCCACGCUUCUUUUAUGAGUUAUAACCCAUACUGUGAAGGUCUGCAGCUUCAUUCCUGAAGCCAGCGAGACUAAGAACCCACCGCGAGAAACGAAGAGCUCCAGAUGCCCCCUUAAGAGCUGUAACAUUCACCGGGAAAGUCAGCCAGCGAGACCACGAACCCCACCAAAAGGAAGAAACUGAACACAUCCCAGCAUCAGAAAGAAUAAGUUCUGGACACACUGCCUUUUAAGAACUGUAACACUCACCGCGAGGUUCCGCGGCUUCAUUCUUUAAGUCCGUGAGAUGAAGAACCCAUCAAUUCCAGACACAGUAGAACAUAGCGAAAACAUUGGAAUGUUGCUUCUGAGAUGAGGCUGCAAUGUCAUGAGACUAUGACAGCUGUCAUGCGCUUUCUCCCACUCCGUGGGAAGCACGUUGCCAUGUUAUGGGGUAGCGUUGUGGGGAGACCCCCCAUGGCAAGGCACUGAUCUCUGGCUAAUAGCUAUUGAAGACUUGAACUCCAGUAACAGCCCUGUGAGUGGGCAUGAAAGCGGAUCUUUGGAGGUCUGUUCAUUGCGAUGUACUCACAUGAGUUUGGAAGCAGCUGCUCCCCCAGCCAAGCCUAGAAUUGACUACUUCAUCACCUUUUCCCAGAGACCCCCAACUAAACCACACCCAAAUUCCUGCCCCAGAGGAAAAAAACUGUGAGCCUUUGGAAUGAGUACACAUCCAGGAGUGAAGAAGACAAGCUCAACUGCCAUUCUCUGAGCAGUUCAAGGCAUACUGAGUUGCGGGAGUUGUGUGGUGGUCCACUCUGAC
This 910-nucleotide long non-coding RNA is filed under the name Homo sapiens (human). RNAcentral describes it as "HSALNT0332074". Lineage: Eukaryota; Metazoa; Chordata; Mammalia; Primates; Hominidae. The record is from RNAcentral.